Molecule: ribosomal RNA, 2584 nt
Filed under: Salmonella enterica subsp. enterica serovar Typhimurium
Lineage: Bacteria; Pseudomonadati; Pseudomonadota; Gammaproteobacteria; Enterobacterales; Enterobacteriaceae
Description: partial 23S ribosomal RNA
Rfam family: Bacterial large subunit ribosomal RNA
Source: RNAcentral
CCCGAAUGGGGAAACCCAGUGUGAUUCGUCACACUAUCAUUAACUGAAUCCAUAGGUUAAUGAGGCGAACCGGGGGAACUGAAACAUCUAAGUACCCCGAGGAAAAGAAAUCAACCGAGAUUCCCCCAGUAGCGGCGAGCGAACGGGGAGGAGCCCAGAGCCUGAAUCAGCAUGUGUGUUAGUGGAAGCGUCUGGAAAGGCGCGCGAUACAGGGUGACAGCCCCGUACACAAAAGCGCAUGUGCUGUGAGCUCGAUGAGUAGGGCGGGACACGUGGUAUCCUGUCUGAAUAUGGGGGGACCAUCCUCCAAGGCUAAAUACUCCUGACUGACCGAUAGUGAACCAGUACCGUGAGGGAAAGGCGAAAAGAACCCCGGCGAGGGGAGUGAAAAAGAACCUGAAACCGUGUACGUACAAGCAGUGGGAGNNNNNNNNNNNNNNNNNNNNNNNNNNNNNNNNNNNNNNNNNNNNNNNNNNGGGCGUUAAGUUGCAGGGUAUAGACCCGAAACCCGGUGAUCUAGCCAUGGGCAGGUUGAAGGUUGGGUAACACUAACUGGAGGACCGAACCGACUAAUGUUGAAAAAUUAGCGGAUGACCUGUGGCUGGGGGUGAAAGGCCAAUCAAACCGGGAGAUAGCUGGUUCUCCCCGAAAGCUAUUUAGGUAGCGCCUCGUGAAUUCAUCUCCGGGGGUAGAGCACUGUUUCGGCUAGGGGGCCAUCCCGGCUUACCAACCCGAUGCAAACUGCGAAUACCGGAGAAUGUUAUCACGGGAGACACACGGCGGGUGCUAACGUCCGUCGUGAAGAGGGAAACAACCCAGACCGCCAGCUAAGGUCCCAAAGUCAUGGUUAAGUGGGAAACGAUGUGGGAAGGCCCAGACAGCCAGGAUGUUGGCUUAGAAGCAGCCAUCAUUUAAAGAAAGCGUAAUAGCUCACUGGUCGAGUCGGCCUGCGCGGAAGAUGUAACGGGGCUAAACCAUGCACCGAAGCUGCGGCAGCGANNNNNNNNNNNNNNNNUGCUGGAGGUAUCAGAAGUGCGAAUGCUGACAUAAGUAACGAUAAAGCGGGUGAAAAGCCCGCUCGCCGGAAGACCAAGGGUUCCUGUCCAACGUUAAUCGGGGCAGGGUGAGUCGACCCCUAAGGCGAGGCCGAAAGGCGUAGUCGAUGGGAAACGGGUUAAUAUUCCCGUACUUGGUGUUACUGCGAAGGGGGGACGGAGAAGGCUAUGUUGGCCGGGCGACGGUUGUCCCGGUUUAAGCGUGUAGGUGUGUGUUCCAGGUAAAUCCGGUUCACUUUAACACUGAGGCGUGACGACGAGGCACUACGGUGCUGAAGCAACAAAUGCCCUGCUUCCAGGAAAAGCCUCUAAGCAUCAGGUAACACGAAAUCGUACCCCAAACCGACACAGGUGGUCAGGUAGAGAAUACCAAGGCGCUUGAGAGAACUCGGGUGAAGGAACUAGGCAAAAUGGUGCCGUAACUUCGGGAGAAGGCACGCUGACACGUAGGUGAAGUGAUUUACUCAUGGAGCUGAAGUCAGUCGAAGAUACCAGCUGGCUGCAACUGUUUAUUAAAAACACAGCACUGUGCAAACACGAAAGUGGACGUAUACGGUGUGACGCCUGCCCGGUGCCGGAAGGUUAAUUGAUGGGGUCAGCGCAAGCGAAGCUCCUGAUCGAAGCCCCGGUAAACGGCGGCCGUAACUAUAACGGUCCUAAGGUAGCGAAAUUCCUUGUCGGGUAAGUUCCGACCUGCACGAAUGGCGUAAUGAUGGCCAGGCUGUCUCCACCCGAGACUCAGUGAAAUUGAACUCGCUGUGAAGAUGCAGUGUACCCGCGGCAAGACGGAAAGACCCCGUGAACCUUUACUAUAGCUUGACACUGAACAUUGAGCCUUGAUGUGUAGGAUAGGUGGGAGGCUUUGAAGUGUGGACGCCAGUCUGCAUGGAGCCGACCUUGAAAUACCACCCUUUAAUGUUUGAUGUUCUAACGUGGACCCGUAAUCCGGGUUGCGGACAGUGUCUGGUGGGUAGUUUGACUGGGGCGGUCUCCUCCUAAAGAGUAACGGAGGAGCACGAAGGUUGGCUAAUCCUGGUCGGACAUCAGGAGGUUAGUGCAAUGGCAUAAGCCAGCUUGACUGCGAGCGUGACGGCGCGAGCAGGUGCGAAAGCAGGUCAUAGUGAUCCGGUGGUUCUGAAUGGAAGGGCCAUCGCUCAACGGAUAAAAGGUACUCCGGGGAUAACAGGCUGAUACCGCCCAAGAGUUCAUAUCGACGGCGGUGUUUGGCACCUCGAUGUCGGCUCAUCACAUCCUGGGGCUGAAGUAGGUCCCAAGGGUAUGGCUGUUCGCCAUUUAAAGUGGUACGCGAGCUGGGUUUAGAACGUCGUGAGACAGUUCGGUCCCUAUCUGCCGUGGGCGCUGGAGAACUGAGGGGGGCUGCUCCUAGUACGAGAGGACCGGAGUGGACGCAUCACUGGUGUUCGGGUUGUCAUGCCAAUGGCACUGCCCGGUAGCUAAAUGCGGAAGAGAUAAGUGCUGAAAGCAUCUAAGCACGAAACUUGCCCCGAGAUGAGUUCUCCCUGAGACUU